UCGGGAAUUUUGGGCAAUGGGCGAAAGCCUGACCCAGCAACGCCGCGUGAAGGAUGAAGUAUUUCGGUAUGUAAACUUCGAAAGAAUAGGAAGAAUAAAUGACGGUACUAUUUAUAAGGUCCGGCUAACUACGUGCCAGCAGCCGCGGUAAUACGUAGGGACCAAGCGUUGUUCGGAUUUACUGGGCGUAAAGGGUGCGUAGGCGGCCAGAUAAGUAGGGUGUGAAAGCCCCCGGCUCAACCGGGGAAUGGCGCUCUAAACUGUCUGGCUGGAGUGAGAUAGGGGUGUGCGGAACUUCCGGUGGAGCGGUGAAAUGUGUUGAUAUCGGAAGGAACGCCGGUGGCGAAAGCGGCACACUGGAUCUCAACUGACGCUGAGGCACGAAAGCCAGGGGAGCAAACGGGAUUAGAUACCCAGGUAGUCCCUGAGCGGGCUGGCAAGGCGCAU
Molecule: ribosomal RNA, 447 nt
Filed under: uncultured bacterium
Lineage: Bacteria
Description: bacterial SSU rRNA
Rfam family: Bacterial small subunit ribosomal RNA
Source: RNAcentral